RNAcentral lists this ribosomal RNA (579 nucleotides) under uncultured bacterium. RNAcentral's name for it is "bacterial SSU rRNA". It matches the Rfam family "Bacterial small subunit ribosomal RNA", at positions 112 to 704 of the family's 1533-position model. The record is from RNAcentral.
AACACGUGAGUAACCUGCCCUUGACUCUGGGAUAAGCCUGGGAAACUGGGUCUAAUACCGGAUACGACCAUCUGGCGCAUGUCAUGGUGGUGGAAAGCUUUUGUGGUUUUGGAUGGACUCGCGGCCUAUCAGCUUGUUGGUGGGGUAAUGGCCUACCAAGGCGACGACGGGUAGCCGGCCUGAGAGGGUGACCGGCCACACUGGGACUGAGACACGGCCCAGACUCCUACGGGAGGCAGCAGUGGGGAAUAUUGCACAAUGGGCGCAAGCCUGAUGCAGCGACGCCGCGUGAGGGAUGACGGCCUUCGGGUUGUAAACCUCUUUCAGUAGGGAAGAAGCGAAAGUGACGGUACCUGCAGAAGAAGCGCCGGCUAACUACGUGCCAGCAGCCGCGGUAAUACGUAGGGCGCAAGCGUUAUCCGGAAUUAUUGGGCGUAAAGAGCUCGUAGGCGGUUUGUCGCGUCUGCUGUGAAAGACCGGGGCUCAACUCCGGUUCUGCAGUGGGUACGGGCAGACUAGAGUGCAGUAGGGGAGACUGGAAUUCCUGGUGUAGCGGUGAAAUGCGCAGAUAUCAGGAGG